CGAACGAUGAACCACUUCGGUGGGGAUUAGUGGCGAACGGGUGAGUAACACGUGGGCAAUCUGCCCUUCACUCUGGGACAAGCCCUGGAAACGGGGUCUAAUACCGGAUACGACCACCGACCGCAUGGUCUGGUGGUGGAAAGCUCCGGCGGUGAAGGAUGAGCCCGCGGCCUAUCAGCUUGUUGGUGGGGUGAUGGCCUACCAAGGCGACGACGGGUAGCCGGCCUGAGAGGGCGACCGGCCACACUGGGACUGAGACACGGCCCAGACUCCUACGGGAGGCAGCAGUGGGGAAUAUUGCACAAUGGGCGAAAGCCUGAUGCAGCGACGCCGCGUGAGGGAUGACGGCCUUCGGGUUGUAAACCUCUUUCAGCAGGGAAGAAGCGAGAGUGACGGUACCUGCAGAAGAAGCGCCGGCUAACUACGUGCCAGCAGCCGCGGUAAUACGUAGGGCGCAAGCGUUGUCCGGAAUUAUUGGGCGUAAAGAGCUCGUAGGCGGCUUGUCACGUCGGAUGUGAAAGCCCGGGGCUUAACCCCGGGUCUGCAUUCGAUACGGGCAGGCUAGAGUUCGGUAGGGGAGAUCGGAAUUCCUGGUGUAGCGGUGAAAUGCGCAGAUAUCAGGAGGAACACCGGUGGCGAAGGCGGAUCUCUGGGCCGAUACUGACGCUGAGGAGCGAAAGCGUGGGGA
This 688-nucleotide ribosomal RNA is filed under the name Streptomyces ramulosus. RNAcentral's name for it is "bacterial SSU rRNA". It matches the Rfam family "Bacterial small subunit ribosomal RNA", at positions 63 to 767 of the family's 1533-position model. Lineage: Bacteria; Bacillati; Actinomycetota; Actinomycetes; Kitasatosporales; Streptomycetaceae. The record is from RNAcentral.